UCCGUGGGCUGCCCCGGGUCCGGACGGAGGCCGCGUCCCCCGCGCCCGGUCGAGGGGCGGACCGGCGCAUCGUGCUCCGGUUCCACUCCGAGCCGGUGGAG
This 101-nucleotide transfer RNA is filed under the name Streptomyces sp. ADI98-10. RNAcentral's name for it is "tRNA-Gly". Lineage: Bacteria; Bacillati; Actinomycetota; Actinomycetes; Kitasatosporales; Streptomycetaceae. The record is from RNAcentral.